RNAcentral lists this ribosomal RNA (934 nucleotides) under uncultured bacterium. RNAcentral's name for it is "bacterial SSU rRNA". It matches the Rfam family "Bacterial small subunit ribosomal RNA", at positions 8 to 916 of the family's 1533-position model. The record is from RNAcentral.
AGAGUUUGAUCAUGGCUCAGAAUGAACGCUGGCGGCGUGCCUAACACAUGCAAGUCGAGCGGUAAGGCCCCUUCGGGGGUACACGAGCGGCGAACGGGUGAGUAACGCGUGGGUAACCUACCCAGAGGUGGGGGAUAGCCUCGGGAAACCGGGGGUAAUACCGCAUACGUCCCAGUCGACGAAGGUCGAUUGGGGGAAAGGCGGGGCUCCUUCGGGACCUGUCGCCUCUGGAUGGGCCCGCGUCCGAUUAGCUUGUUGGUGGGGUAAUGGCCCACCAAGGCUGCGAUCGGUAGCCGGCCUGAGAGGGUGACCGGCCACAUUGGGACUGAGACACGGCCCAGACUCCUACGGGAGGCAGCAGUGGGGAAUUUUGGGCAAUGGGCGAAAGCCUGACCCAGCGACGCCGCGUGGGGGAUGAAGGCCUUCGGGUUGUAAACCCCUGUCACGUGGGAAGAACAGCCUACUGGAUAAUACCCGGUAGGUCCUGACGGUACCACGGGAGGAAGCCCCGGCUAACUCCGUGCCAGCAGCCGCGGUAAUACGGAGGGGGCAAGCGUUGUUCGGAAUUACUGGGCGUAAAGCGCACGUAGGCGGCGAGGUAAGUCAAAGGUGAAAGCCCUCGGCUCAACCGAGGAACUGCCUUUGAAACUGCUUCGCUUGAGUCCGGGAGGGGGGAGCGGAAUUCCCAGUGUAGCGGUGAAAUGCGUAGAUACUGGGAGGAACACCGGUGGCGAAGGCGGCUCCCUGGACCGGUACUGACGCUGAGGUGCGAAAGCGUGGGUAGCAAACAGGAUUAGAUACCCUGGUAGUCCACGCCGUAAACGAUGAGCACUAGGUGUAGCGGGUGUCGACCCCUGCUGUGCCGAAGCUAACGCAUUAAGUGCCCCCGCCUGGGGAGUACGGUCGCAAGGCUGAAACUCAAAUGAAUUGACGG